Molecule: ribosomal RNA, 489 nt
Filed under: uncultured bacterium
Lineage: Bacteria
Description: bacterial SSU rRNA
Rfam family: Bacterial small subunit ribosomal RNA
Source: RNAcentral
AUUGAACGCUGGCGGCAUGCCUAACACAUGCAAGUCGAACGGCAGCACGGGGAGCUUGCUCCCUGGUGGCGAGUGGCGGACGGGUGAGUAACACGUAGGAAUCUACCCUAAAGCGGGGGACAACUCGGGGAAACUCGAGCUAAUACCGCAUAAUGUCUACGGACCAAAGCAGGGGACCUUCGGGCCUUGCACUUUAGGAUGAGCCUGCGGCAGAUUAGCUUGUUGGUGGGGUAAUGGCCUACCAAGGCGACGAUCUGUAGCUGGUCUGAGAGGACGAUCAGCCACACUGGGACUGAGACACGGCCCAGACUCCUACGGGAGGCGGCAGUGGGGAAUCUUGGACAAUGGGGGAAAACCCUGAUCCAGCAAUGCCGCGUGUGUGAAGAAGGCCUGCGGGUUGUAAAGCACUUUCAGUGGGGAAGAAAUACUCAAGGAUAAUACCCUUGAGGGCUGACAUUACCCACAGAAGAAGCACCGGCUAACUCUGUG